UAGAUACCCUGGUAGUCCACGCUGUAAACGAUGGAUACUAGCUGUUUGGCGCAAGCUGAGUGGCUAAGCGAAAGUGAUAAGUAUCCCACCUGGGGAGUACGCACGCAAGUGUGAAACUCAAAGGAAUUGACGGGGGCCCGCACAAGCGGUGGAGCAUGUGGUUUAAUUCGAUGAUACGCGAGGAACCUUACCAAGGUUUAAAUGGAGACUGACAGGUGUAGAGAUACGCCCUUCUUCGGACAGUUUCAAG
This 250-nucleotide ribosomal RNA is filed under the name uncultured bacterium. Its description in RNAcentral is "partial 16S ribosomal RNA". It matches the Rfam family "Bacterial small subunit ribosomal RNA", at positions 779 to 1037 of the family's 1533-position model. The record is from RNAcentral.